AGUGAACGCUGGCGGUAGGCCUAACACAUGCAAGUCGGACGGCAGCACAGUAAGAGCUUGCUCUUACGGGUGGCGAGUGGCGGACGGGUGAGGAAUACAUCGGAAUCUACUUUUUCGUGGGGGAUAACGUAGGGAAACUUACGCUAAUACCGCAUACGACCUACGGGUGAAAGCAGGGGAUCUUCGGACCUUGCGCGAUUGAAUGAGCCGAUGUCGGAUUAGCUAGUUGGCGGGGUAAAGGCCCACCAGGGCGACGAUCCGUAGCUGGUCUGAGAGGAUGAUAAGCCACACUGGAACUGAGACACGGUCCAGACUCCUACGGGAGGCAGCAGUGGGGAAUAUUGGACAAUGGGCGCAAGCCUGAUCCAGCCAUACCGCGUGGGUGAAGAAGGCCUUCGGGUUGUAAAGCCCUUUUGUUGGGAAAGAAAAGCAGCAGGUUAAUACCCCGCUGUUCUGACGGUACCCAAAGAAUAAGCACCGGCUAACUUCGUG
Molecule: ribosomal RNA, 492 nt
Filed under: uncultured bacterium
Lineage: Bacteria
Description: partial 16S ribosomal RNA
Rfam family: Bacterial small subunit ribosomal RNA
Source: RNAcentral